ACCGUUAUGACGUUGCAAUCCGUUCAAAUGCGCAGCGCAGCUUUUACACCCAAACAGCACGAAAGUCAAACAUCAACCAUCAAAGGUUUGUGUCCCUGUGUGCAAAUUUAUUCAAACACAUAACUAACUGCCUUUGUUGAAAAGUGUGACCAAUCUCUCAGGCAUUCCACUUUUGAUCCUGACUUCAUGAUCGCUCAUCGAGUGUCGUUUCCAGCUGCAGGACCAUGUAAAGCCAGACCCAUGAGUGAUCUGCAGUCUCUAUGCGUACCACCAUCUCAGCUCUGCCUUCUCCACCUUCUCUCACUAAGUCGAGAAAAACAAAUGAUAGUAAUACUCACACAGGCUGCAGUGCUGAGCAGAGGCAUGUGAAAGAUCUUGAGGAUGCACAAAGCUAUACCAGGAUUGGGCCCGCAGAGUCUCCACAUUCAUACCCAAAUAAACAUUUAUGCUGGAAAAAAAUAAAAUUUAAUUAAUCCAUGCUCACCUGAAAAAA
Molecule: long non-coding RNA, 493 nt
Organism: Misgurnus anguillicaudatus (oriental weatherfish)
Lineage: Eukaryota; Metazoa; Chordata; Actinopteri; Cypriniformes; Cobitidae
Source: RefSeq, a predicted model, not a curated record